GACGUUCAUCAUCAUACGUCGUUAGUCUGUUGGAUCCUCGCUUUAGCUCAUUCGGCCCUUCAUCACCCAAAUUGCUAGGUAUAUCUUUCCUGCCAUUUAUUCAUUGUAUGUAUCAUACCAGAGUGUUAGUAAACUGUCUGUGUGUUAUCCAAAUGCCGUAUUCCUGAAUCUUAUUUUGAGUUUGGCAGAUAGCCAGGGACAUCGGGUCCAUCACCAGCGUUAACACCUUUCUUCACCCCUUUCCCUUGGUCUAUCUUGCCUCACAUGGCGCAGUCGACAGGAUACGGCAAGUGAUUCUUCAGACUUCAAGCACUUAUGGACGACUUAUUUCAUGCUUAUGGACGUAGUUCGAAAGGCUUGUUCGAUUUAGGCUUAGCCUCGUCAUUGGAACGCAUUGCAUUGCAACAGUUCUAUAUCCCUUCGUAAUUUCUAGUUCACUUUUUGUCACGCAUUAAUUGCGUCUUCAGUUUUUUCGUUGCAUUUGUGCACGACAGAUAUCGUCUUUUGAGUUUGUUCUUUCAUGGAAAGUCCAAAGGUAUUGAGACUUCUUUUGCGUCCAGCACAAGAGUUGUUUGAACACUCCCAGAGAACGCUGAUCGUCGUCAAGCAGCAAUUCUCAUCAUGGAAGACGACGAAAGGAGGAAACAUGCAUCUACGAGUGCUAUUCCCACCAAAGACGACAACGAGGAAUACCAAACAUCGGAGGAAUACGAAGAUGAACAUCAGGAUGAACAAGUCUCAUCAACAAACAAGUCUAGAGAGCGAGGCAACGACGACCAGUCUCACUUCCUACUGCAUGUCUACUGGAUGUGACUGUCUCACUCUGAUCAAGCUGGCACGACAGAUCGAACCUGCUCAGAAACACCGUGAUCCAAACUGGCGUCAACAAGGAGCCAAGCCAAAGGACUACACGAAGAGGAACAUCAACGUCAGCAAGGCUUUUCGUCCACAUCACAGCCUAAGUAUUCAUCUCGGCAAAAUGGUGAGAAACAUUCUCCUACUUCCACCAAAACAUCGGACAAAUCAAGACCCAAAGGACUACACCAAACAUCAAGACAAAGACAAGAAACACAGCUACACUGCUUCAAUAAGACACGACUUACCAUCUAGACACCCCGUGAGACCAGUCCAGAGAGAUUCUUGUAAACAACACACCGGUCGACGCCCUGGUUGACACGGGUUCAGACUUCUAUCUUAAGAAAACAGGAAGCAGAGCUUUGGGGUAUUAACAUAAAACCAUGGAGUGACUCAGCAAUUAUCGCCGUCGAUAACGAGUUCAUGCCGUUCAGCGAAGCCGUCGUGGAAGUGAAGUUAGCGAACACAACUGUUGCUAUCGUCACUAACAUCAUAUCCUUUCAUACUUGGUAGCGACUGGCGCACAUCUGCCAAGCUUGGAAUCACCGUUUGGCCUAAUGGACACAUCUCCAUCCAGUCACCUCCAAAGUCAAACCAGGAGAAAAUCUUCAACAGCAUGUUCCUAAAGAAAGACUCUCUCCAGGAACUUUCUGAAACUACUCCAUCACACGCUGGAGAAUUUCAACCCAUACAGAAACGGAUCUUCUACAACACGACAUCCAAGGAUCAAGACACUUCGACAGACAUCAAAACUCAUCACAUCCUUCACACUUCCACGUGCAAGUAAAUAACAAGCCUCGACAUCAACGUGUUCAUCAACACAACGCAAAUCUCCACUAAGGAACUGUCCUUUCCCACUUCUUCCUGGCACCAACAUCGUGGCACCCCAGGACGGCCCCAACAUCGUGGCAUCCCAGGACAAGGUGAAGAUACCAUCUCAUCAAGCAACAUCAGCCUCCGCAAGAACAAGUUCGUCAACAAGUACAAGAACAGUUUUCCGGCGAACAACAGUGUUCGUGAACGUGUUAGUGAAUUCCGCAAUGUUGUCGACCUUCAUAGAACACAGCCAUCACAGGUAUGUGAAAAUGUCAUGUUGCAUAACUACGAAAAGGAUGAGUCAUCUGACCUCUUGCUUGUGAAUAUCGUACAAGUCUAUGACAUCAUUCCUUUGGAUAGGGUUGUUGUACGAGAGACAGAUGCAAAAACUGCAGUACAGCAUGCUGAAAUCUUGGACGAAGACAAAGUAACCUCAGACAUAAAUGACCCACAGCUUAAGAAACUCCAUGAUAAUAUUCUUAAGCACGCGAACGUGUUUUCUAAGCAAAAGUAUGUCAUCGGAUUUUGUCCAAAGACCGAACAUUGCACUGAUCUCUCUGACAGCAUUCCUGUUCGUAUAAAGUCGCUACUCAUGGAAUGACAGAAAAUUCAUCAAAAGAGAUCAACAACUGGCUUAAAUUAGGUCUUGUUCGAAAAAGUCUCAUUACGCCUCCCCAGUUUUCGUUGAUCAACCACUUCAUCCACCACCACGUAGACUUGUUGUUGACUACCGCAAGCUAAAUGGGAAAACCGUCAAAAGAGUGUAUAGUAUGCCUCGAAUUGAUGCUGACAGAUGUUGACAGAGUAGGGAAAGGCAAGUACUUCAAACAUCUAAAUAAUCAAACUUCUAAACAUCAAAAUAAGGGAAUCUGACGAACAUAAGACAGCUUUCAUUACACCUGACGGUCUUUACGAAUUCGUUCGAAUGCCUUUUGGUCCAACUGGUGCUCCCGCCACUUGGCAAGCAGUAAUGGAUGAAGCAUUUCAUUCCCUCAAGUGGAAGGACGUUGUAAUUGUCUAUUUCGAUGACAUCUGUAUCUAUCUGUAUCUGUAUCUGUACUUCCACCAUAGACGAACAUCUCGACGUUCUUGACCAAUCUAUGUCCAUACUGGAAAAUUAUGGUUUCAAAAUCGAGAUCAAUAAGUGUCAGUUCAUUCAGACCCAUAUAAAGUUUCUGGGUUACAUUGUAUCUCAUGAGGGUAAACUGCCAGAUCCGGAGAGGUCAGCUGCUGUUGACAAAUACCCCGAUACACAAUACAAUACCCCGAUACACAAUACAAGACAAGAUUUUUGGGCUUUGCUUCUUACUUUCUUACUUGCUUCUUCUUUCGCUUCUUUCUUCUUUGCUUCUUACUUUCGCAAAUUCAUCAAAGGUGCUGAAAUUGCGCGACCUCUAUCACUCUCUUGCGAAACAAGCAACAGUCCAAAAGCACUGGCAAAUCGAGAGUGGACACCUACACACACUGAGGCUGUACGUAACCUCAAAUCUCUAUUUUCAAACACCUAUUUUGGCUCAUUUUGAUCCAGACAAAGAAACUCAUGUCGAGCGUUCAUCUCACAGAAACACGAUGGAAGAGUACGUUGUUGAGUAUGCCAGCAGAGCAACCAACACAACAGAGGAAAAACUGCAUUCAAACAUGCUCGAAUGCAUUGCUCUUCAUUGGGCACAGUCCAUGUUUGGACAGACAACUACAGUGUCUCCUUAAUGACCAAUGCACAGCAAAUCAAUAGAAAAUUUGCUCGCAUGGUUCUCGAUCUGAAGAUACACCAUCGUUCGGGAAAAACCAAUGUUGUCGCUGAUGCUCUAUCACGCAUCCCACAACCUUUGGUUGCGUCACUAAUUCUCACUGCCGAGAAUUCUCAUCUCUCCAAUCACCAACAGUCAGAUCCGUCGUUAUUAGAUUUUUGAAGUCCUCAAAAAUCCUAAUAUUUCUUCUCGCAAAGCUGAGAAUAUGCGGAAUACAUUCAUGUUGUCGAAUGGCAUACUCUGCCACAAAACCACUCAACAAAACGGACUGACAAAAACAAGGAUUGUCAUACCAGAAUCUCUUAGGAAAGAUUGCUGUUUCAUGAAAGUUUCACGAUAAACGUGGUCACGUGGACAAAUUCAAGACCAAAAGCAGUAUUCUGAGUAAAUACUGGUCGUCCAUUAAUAAGGACGUCAAAGAGUACGUCCAGGGUUGUAACAUUUGUCAGCGCUUCAACAGACAAACAUCGAAGCCCGUGCGAUACUUACAUCCUCGACCAAUUCCCACACAACCUUUCACCACUAUCCCCCGAUCACAUUGGUCCACUUCCGGAAACAGGAAAUGGAAACAAGUACAUCAUUGCAUGUGUUGACCACACUACACGCUUUGUAGUAACACAGGCUGUGAUAUCAACAGCAUCGUCACACAUCAUUAAGGAAAAGAUCAACAGAACUUUUGGUAUUCCUAUGACAAUUGUUUCUGACCAAGGUUCAGGUUUCAUGAGUCAGAACAUGGAAAAACCACAACAGGAAUUGAACACACAACUUCUUGUCCUUAUUUCCAUCAGGCAAAUGGUCUCGUGGAAAGAUCUGUAGCAACCAUAAAGAAUAUUAUCAAAAAAAUAUUGCUUUGAGAAUCCUUCAAAAUGGGACCAAUACUUUGCAAACACCACUUCUACUAGAUUCUACUAGAUUUUCACCACAUUUCGUUCUCUUUGGAUUUGAACCUCGUAUUGAAAACGAGAUUCAGGUUGGUGUAACCCUUGACGACAUAUCACGACCUCGAGUAUUGAAAUGCUACAUGACAUACGUGCAGCAGCACGCGAAAACCUAGCAAAAGCUCUAUCCUCUCACGUUACGACUACGGUCGAAACCCAUCUCGGUUCUCUGUGGAUGACUUAGUUUGGAUAGAAUCCUUUUCAACUUCACCUUUUGAUCCUAAGUACAAGGACAAGGCAUUCAAAGUUAUUUCUACUCAUCCCCAUGACAUUUGUACUGUAGUCUGGAUAAAGAAAUAACAAAAAAACAGUUCAUGUUUCACAAAUGAAACUGUUCAAGGAUCAGCCAGAUUGGGAUCCUAACAUAGACAGUGACAUAGAUAUAGACAGUGACGAGAAUGUCUCUGUUGAUCAAGACAGUUCACGAAGAAACAUAGUCCACCUUACACGACAAGGUAUGGACGCGUCACCAAAAGGGUACCAUGCGUACGACCUCGUUUGACUGGGACGCCUUGGUGAAUGUCGUUCAUUCAUGGACAGGGGACGCUCUGGUCCAUAAAUGACUUUGUACUACGUUGCUUUAAAUGUGUCCAGUGUCUGCAAUAUGAAUUUUUGCGGUUAUUUUUCCUUUGCUUUUCACUUUGGGUUACUUCCACAUUUCUGUUACUCGCGCACACAGCCACACUCAAACACACGCUUACAUAGUUGCUGUUUAGCAUUUCCCUUCUACUGACCUCUUCAGAUCAAGUUUCGAAUUUAGUCACUUCUUCGCACUAGUUCUCUUCAUUUUCGUAUCACUGCAUGUACUGUGUAUGUACUGCAUGUCACAAUGCUAUUCAUGCUAUGCUGUGCUAUGUCAUGUACUACGAACUUUCUACUUCAAUGUUAACAAAUCCACAAUGUGUUUAGAAUCAGGAGAUUCUACUACUUCCUUUGAGGGUGGAUUAUUAAACUCUCUUAAAUCUA
Ornithodoros turicata is the source of this 5323-nucleotide long non-coding RNA. RefSeq lists it as uncharacterized. NCBI's taxonomy places the organism in Eukaryota, Metazoa, Arthropoda, Arachnida, Ixodida, Argasidae. The transcript has 2 exons. The record is from RefSeq and is a predicted model, not a curated record.